GAUGAACGCUGGCGGCGUGCCUAAUACAUGCAAGUCGAGCGAACGGACGAGAAGCUUGCUUUUCUGAUGUUAGCGGCGGACGGGUGAGUAACACGUGGAUAACCUACCUAUAAGACUGGGAUAACUUCGGGAAACCGGAGCUAAUACCGGAUAAUAUUUUGAACCGCAUGGGUCAAAAGUGAAAGACGGUCUUGCUGUCACUAAUAGAUGGAUCCGCGCUGCAUUAGCUAGUUGGUAAGGUAACGGCUUACCAAGGCAACGAUGCAUAGCCGACCUGAGAGGGUGAUCGGCCACACUGGAACUGAGACACGGUCCAGACUCCUACGGGAGGCAGCAGUAGGGAAUCUUCCGCAAUGGGCGAAAGCCUGACGGAGCAACGCCGCGUGAGUGAUGAAGGUCUUCGGAUCGUAAAGCUCUGUUAUUAGGGAAGAACAUAUGUGUAAGUAACUGUGCACAUCUUGACGGUACCUAAUCAGAAAGCCACGGCUAACUACGUG
Molecule: ribosomal RNA, 497 nt
Filed under: uncultured bacterium
Lineage: Bacteria
Description: partial 16S ribosomal RNA
Rfam family: Bacterial small subunit ribosomal RNA
Source: RNAcentral